This 297-nucleotide ribosomal RNA is filed under the name Triticum aestivum (bread wheat). Its description in RNAcentral is "partial small subunit ribosomal RNA". Lineage: Eukaryota; Viridiplantae; Streptophyta; Magnoliopsida; Poales; Poaceae. The record is from RNAcentral.
AUGGCGGCCUCAGAGGCAGCACAAGAAGCAAUCUGGAUGAAGGAGUUCAUUACCGACCUAGGAGUUAUUCCCAAUGCGUCGGGCCCGAUGACUCUCUUCUGUGACAACACUGGAGCUAUUGCCCUUGCCAAGGAGCCUAGGUUUCACAGGAAGACCAGGCAUAUCAAGCGUCGCUUCAACUCCAUUCGUGAAAAUGUUCAAAAUGGAGACAUAGAUAUUUGUAAAGUACAUACGGACCUGAAUGUAGCAGAUCCGUUGACUAAACCUCUCCCUAGAGCAAAACAUGAUCAACACCAG